UCCCUUGGAGAACUUGUUAAAAUGCAGAUUCUGAUUCAUAGAUUUGGGAUGGGGCCUGAGAUUCUGCAUUUCUAACAAGCUCCCAAGUGAUGCC
Molecule: microRNA precursor, 94 nt
Filed under: Dasypus novemcinctus (nine-banded armadillo)
Lineage: Eukaryota; Metazoa; Chordata; Mammalia; Cingulata; Dasypodidae
Description: miRNA (ENSDNOG00000030157.2)
Rfam family: mir-544 microRNA precursor family
Source: RNAcentral